CGGGACGUGGCGCAGCUUGGUCGCGCGCCUGGUUCGGGAUCAGGAGGUCGAGAGUUCGAAUCUCUCCGUCCCGACCA
This 77-nucleotide transfer RNA is filed under the name Verrucomicrobiota bacterium. RNAcentral describes it as "tRNA-Pro". It matches the Rfam family "tRNA". From Rfam's summary of the family: Transfer RNA (tRNA) molecules are approximately 80 nucleotides in length. Their secondary structure includes four short double-helical elements and three loops (D, anti-codon, and T loops). Further hydrogen bonds mediate the characteristic L-shaped molecular structure. tRNAs have two regions of fundamental functional importance: the anti-codon, which is responsible for specific mRNA codon recognition, and the 3' end, to which the tRNAs corresponding amino acid is attached (by aminoacyl-tRNA synthetases). tRNAs cope with the degeneracy of the genetic code in two manners: having more than one tRNA (with a specific anti-codon) for a particular amino acid; and 'wobble' base-pairing, i.e. permitting non-standard base-pairing at the 3rd anti-codon position. The record is from RNAcentral. Lineage: Bacteria; Pseudomonadati; Verrucomicrobiota.